AGCUCAGGCGACGACGGGUAGCCGGCCUGAGAGGGUGACCGGCCACAUUGGGACUGAGACACGGCCCAGACUCCUACGGGAGGCAGCAGUGGGGAAUAUUGCACAAUGGGCGAAAGCCUGAUGCAGCGACGCCGCGUGAGGGAUGACGGCCUUCGGGUUGUAAACCUCUUUCACCAGGGACGAAGCGAAAGUGACGGUACCUGCAGAAGAAGCACCGGCUAACUACGUGCCCACAGCCGCGGGG
This 244-nucleotide ribosomal RNA is filed under the name uncultured bacterium. RNAcentral's name for it is "partial 16S ribosomal RNA". It matches the Rfam family "Bacterial small subunit ribosomal RNA", at positions 266 to 522 of the family's 1533-position model. The record is from RNAcentral.